RNAcentral lists this transfer RNA (87 nucleotides) under Escherichia coli. RNAcentral's name for it is "tRNA-OTHER". It matches the Rfam family "tRNA". From Rfam's summary of the family: Transfer RNA (tRNA) molecules are approximately 80 nucleotides in length. Their secondary structure includes four short double-helical elements and three loops (D, anti-codon, and T loops). Further hydrogen bonds mediate the characteristic L-shaped molecular structure. tRNAs have two regions of fundamental functional importance: the anti-codon, which is responsible for specific mRNA codon recognition, and the 3' end, to which the tRNAs corresponding amino acid is attached (by aminoacyl-tRNA synthetases). tRNAs cope with the degeneracy of the genetic code in two manners: having more than one tRNA (with a specific anti-codon) for a particular amino acid; and 'wobble' base-pairing, i.e. permitting non-standard base-pairing at the 3rd anti-codon position. Lineage: Bacteria; Pseudomonadati; Pseudomonadota; Gammaproteobacteria; Enterobacterales; Enterobacteriaceae. The record is from RNAcentral.
GUCGGUGUACUCUUAACUGGUAAAGCGGCACCUGAGGGUAUCCUCAUCCGAAGGAUGUUUAUGUGGGUUCGACCCCCACCACCGACU